Molecule: ribosomal RNA, 328 nt
Filed under: uncultured eukaryote
Lineage: Eukaryota
Description: partial 18S ribosomal RNA
Rfam family: Eukaryotic small subunit ribosomal RNA
Source: RNAcentral
CCCUUAGAUGUUCUGGGCCGCACGCGCGCUACACUGACGGAGUCAACGAGUUGUCCUGCAUCGGAAGGUGUGGGUAAUCUUUUGAAACUUCGUCGUGCUGGGGAUAGAUCUUUGCAAUUUUCGAUCUUGAACGAGGAAUUCCUAGUAAGCGUGAUUCAUCAGAUCGCGUUGAUUACGUCCCUGCCCUUUGUACACACCGCCCGUCGCUCCUACCGAUUGAAUGGUCCGGUGAAAUGUUCGGACCGCGACAAGGCGGACGGUUCGCUGUCAGCUUUGCUGCGGGAAGUUCAUUAAACCUUAUCAUUUAGAGGAAGGAGAANUCGUANCA